UUUAAAGGUUUUUUUCAAUUUUUUUUAUUACCUUUAUUCAGAUAAAUAAAAUAACUUAUGACUCAAGUAUUUUUAUCAGAACAAAGUGAUUGAAUGACAAUGGCAAUCGAUGACAAAUUAAUUACCGUUUGUCUAAAGUGAACUUAAUAACGUUAUAAAGUUUGCAUGAAAAAUAUGUAAUCUUAUUGCAGUGUAGCAAAAUUGUCUUUAAAAGAAGCGGAAAAAAUUGAAACAUAGACAUAUAUUUAAGCUGAAUAUUAGUUACUUUUUUUUAUGCAAGCAAAAGUAGGGUGAAACGAAGUUGCAUUCAAAAAAUAAGAAGAACUUCUUCGGAUACUGAGUAAAUUACAAAACGCUACUUGCAACACUAAACACAAACUGCUAAAGCUUUCGGAUAAUCUUCGUGGCUCAUGAGUUAUCAAGUAA
Hydra vulgaris (swiftwater hydra) is the source of this 426-nucleotide long non-coding RNA. RefSeq lists it as uncharacterized. The record is from RefSeq and is a predicted model, not a curated record. Lineage: Eukaryota; Metazoa; Cnidaria; Hydrozoa; Anthoathecata; Hydridae.